RNAcentral lists this ribosomal RNA (467 nucleotides) under uncultured bacterium. RNAcentral's name for it is "partial 16S ribosomal RNA". It matches the Rfam family "Bacterial small subunit ribosomal RNA", at positions 28 to 506 of the family's 1533-position model. The record is from RNAcentral.
GACGAACGCUGGCGGCGUGCUUAACACAUGCAAGUCGAACGGAAAGGCCCUGCUUUUGUGGGGUGCUCGAGUGGCGAACGGGUGAGUAACACGUGAGUAACCUGCCCUUGACUUUGGGAUAACUUUAGGAAACUGGGGCUAAUACCGGAUAGGAGCUCCUGCUGCAUGGUGGGGGUUGGAAAGUUUCGGCGGUUGGGAAUGGACUCGCGGCUUAUCAGCUUGUUGGUGGGGUAGUGGCUUACCAAGGCUUUGACGGGUAGCCGGCCUGAGAGGGUGACCGGCCACAUUGGGACUGAGAUACGGCCCAGACUCCUACGGGAGGCAGCAGUGGGGAAUAUUGCACAAUGGGCGGAAGCCUGAUGCAGCAACGCCGCGUGCGGGAUGACGGCCUUCGGGUUGUAAACCGCUUUCGCCUGUGACGAAGCGUGAGUGACGGUAAUGGGUAAAGAAGCACCGGCUAACUACGU